Molecule: non-coding RNA, 543 nt
Organism: Centropristis striata (black sea bass)
Lineage: Eukaryota; Metazoa; Chordata; Actinopteri; Perciformes; Serranidae
Source: the annotation of a RefSeq genome assembly
GCAUCAGGAUGAUGUUUCCAGUGACUCUGAUUGUCAUGUUGGGUUUUCUGACUCAGGAGUCUUCUGCCAACGACUUUCUGACUCAGACUGACAAAUCCAAGUCUGUUAGUCUCGGAGGGACUGUGACCAUCAGCGCCACAGGGAGUUCAAAUAUUGAUAAUGAUCUCAGUUGGUACCUUCAGAAACCUGGACAGGCUCCCAAACUUCUUAUAUAUGAUGCAUCAACUCUAAACUCAGGAACUCCGUCUCGAUUCAGUGGCAGCAGAUCUGGUUCUCAGUACACUUUAACCAUCAGUGGUGUUCAGGAUGAAGAUGUUGCAGAUUAUUACUGUCUUGGCUACCCUCGUGAUGGAGUGUUCACACAGUGAUUUGUAGCCGUACAAAAACCUCCCUCAGUGUGACUGAAGUGAAACGGCCUGCUGCAGGUGCAGAGGGUUGGUGAAGAGACUGUGAUGAGGAUAACUGGUCCAGUGAACACAACACAAGAGUCAUCAAGCAGAACCACAAAGAAUCUAAAUAAAACUGAAACACACUCACACACGA